GACGAACGCUGGCGGGCGUGCCUAAAUACAUGCAAGUAGAACGCUGAAGAGAGGGAGCUUGCUCUUCUUGGAUGAGUUGCGAACGGGUGAGUAAACGCGUAGGUAACCUGCCUGGUAGCGGGGGAUAACUAUUGGAAACGAUAGCUAAUACCGCAUGAUAUUAAUUGUCGCAUGAUAAUUAAUUGAAAGAUGCAAUUGCAUCACUACCAGAUGGACCUGCGUUGUAUUAGCUAGUUGGUGAGGUAACGGCUCACCAAGGCGACGAUACAUAGCCGACCUGAGAGGGUGAUCGGCCACACUGGGACUGAGACACGGCCCAGACUCCUACGGGAGGCAGCAGUAGGGAAUCUUCGGCAAUGGGGGGAACCCUGACCGAGCAACGCCGCGUGAGUGAAGGAGGUUUUCGGAUCGUAAAGCUCUGUUGUAAGAGAAGAACGGGUGUGAGAGUGGAAAGUUCACACUGUGACGGUAUCUUACCAGAAAGGGACGGCUAACUACGUGCCAGCAGCCGCGGUAAUACGUAGGUCCCGAGCGUUGUCCGGAUUUAUUGGGCGUAAAGCGAGCGCAGGCGGUUCUUUAAGUCUGAAGUUAAAGGCAGUGGCUUAACCAUUGUACGCUUUGGAAACUGGAGGACUUGAGUGCAGAAGGGGAGAGUGGAAUUCCAUGUGUAGCGGUGAAAUGCGUAGAUAUAUGGAGGAACACCGGUGGCGAAAGCGGCUCUCUGGUCUGUAACUGACGCUGAGGCUCGAAAGCGUGGGGAGCAAACAGG
RNAcentral lists this ribosomal RNA (769 nucleotides) under uncultured Streptococcus sp. RNAcentral describes it as "bacterial SSU rRNA". It matches the Rfam family "Bacterial small subunit ribosomal RNA", at positions 28 to 776 of the family's 1533-position model. Lineage: Bacteria; Bacillati; Bacillota; Bacilli; Lactobacillales; Streptococcaceae. The record is from RNAcentral.